GGUACUCCAUGUAGUCUGACUAUCUCUAAAAUAUACAACUCAGCCAACUUGUCAAGUGAAUAAUCCAUGCAAACUGGAAUUAAAUGAGCCGACUUUAUUAGCUUAUCAAUCACAACCCAUACUGCAUCUUUUUUCUCGGUGUCAACGACAAUCCUGUCACAAAAUCCAUGGCAGCUCAGUCCCAUUUCCACUCAAGAACUAAACAGGCUGCAAUAAACCUAAAGGUACCUGACGUUUGACUUUUACCUAAUGACAGAUCAAGCAUCUACAAACAAACUCUGAGAUAUCUC
Molecule: long non-coding RNA, 290 nt
Filed under: Gossypium barbadense (sea-island cotton)
Lineage: Eukaryota; Viridiplantae; Streptophyta; Magnoliopsida; Malvales; Malvaceae
Description: long non-coding RNA (GBAR_LNC006437)
Source: RNAcentral